ACGGGAGGCAGCAGUGGGGGAUAUUGCACAAUGGGCGAAAGCCUGAUGCAGCGACGCCGCGUGAGGGAAGAAGGUCUUCGGAUUGUAAACCUUUGUCCCAUGGGAAGAUAAUGACGGUACCAUGGGAGGAAGCCACGGCUAACUACGUGCCAGCAGCCGCGGUAAUACGUAGGUGGCAAGCGUUGUCCGGAUUUACUGGGUGUAAAGGGUGCGUAGGCGGGGCAGCAAGUUGGAUGUGAAAUCCUCGGGCUCAACUCGAGAACUGCAUUCAAAACUGUUGCUCUUGAGUGCAGUAGAGGCAAGCGGAAUUCCCGGUGUAGCGGUGAAAUGCGCAGAGAUCGGGAGGAACACCAGUGGCGAAGGCGGCUUGCUGGGCUGUUACUGACGCUGAGGCACGAAAGCAUGGGUAGCAAACAGGAUUAGAUACCCUGGUA
This 434-nucleotide ribosomal RNA is filed under the name uncultured Ethanoligenens sp. RNAcentral describes it as "partial 16S ribosomal RNA". It matches the Rfam family "Bacterial small subunit ribosomal RNA", at positions 341 to 792 of the family's 1533-position model. RNAcentral also lists the same sequence under 1 other name. Lineage: Bacteria; Bacillati; Bacillota; Clostridia; Eubacteriales; Oscillospiraceae. The record is from RNAcentral.